This 253-nucleotide ribosomal RNA is filed under the name uncultured bacterium. RNAcentral describes it as "partial 16S ribosomal RNA". It matches the Rfam family "Bacterial small subunit ribosomal RNA", at positions 524 to 776 of the family's 1533-position model. The record is from RNAcentral.
UACGUAGGGUGCAAGCGUUGUCCGGAAUUAUUGGGCGUAAAGAGCUCGUAGGCGGUCUGUCGCGUCUGCUGUGAAAGUCCGGGGCUCAACUCCGGAUCUGCGGUGGGUACGGGCAGACUAGAGUGAUGUAGGGGAGACUGGAAUUCCUGGUGUAGCGGUGAAAUGCGCAGAUAUCAGGAGGAACACCGGUGGCGAAGGCGGGUCUCUGGGCAGUAACUGACGCUGAGGAACGAAAGCGUGGGUAGCGAACAGG